AUAUUGGCGAGAGACCGAUAGCGAACAAGUACCGUGAGGGAAAGAUGAAAAGAACUUUGGAAAGAGAGUUAAACAGUACGUGAAAUUGCUGAAAGGGAAACGCUUGAAGUCAGUCGCGUUGUCCGGGGAUCAACCUUACUUUUGUUGGGUGUACUUUCCGGGUGACGGGUCAGCAUCAAUUUUGACCGCUGGAUAAAGUGUAGAGAAAUGUGGCAUCUUCGGGUGUGUUAUAGUCUUUAUUCGCAUACAACGGUUGGGAUUGAGGGACUCAGUACGCCGCAAGGCCGGGAUUUAUCCACGUUCGUACUUAGGAUGCUGGCAUAAUGGCUUUAAUCGACCCGUCUUGA
RNAcentral lists this ribosomal RNA (347 nucleotides) under uncultured fungus. RNAcentral describes it as "LSU rRNA". It matches the Rfam family "Eukaryotic large subunit ribosomal RNA", at positions 320 to 657 of the family's 3401-position model. Lineage: Eukaryota; Fungi. The record is from RNAcentral.